GAUGAAGAACGCAGCGAAAUGAGAUAAGUAAUGUGAAUUGCAGAAUUCAGUGAAUCAUCGAAUCUUUGAACGCACAUUGCGCCCCUUGGUAUUCCGAGGGGCAUGCCUGUUCGAGCGUCAUUUCAACCCUCAAGCACAGCUUGGUCUUGGGCUUCGCCGCUAACCCGGCGGGUCUUAAAAUCAGUGGCGGUGCCGUCGGGCCCUGAGCGCAGUAAUCUCUCUCGCUAUAGGGUCCCGGCGGAUGCUGGCCAGUAACCCCCAAUUUUCUAUGGUUGACCUCGGAUCAGGUAGGGAUACCCGCUGAACUUAAGCAUAUCAAUAAGCGGAGGA
RNAcentral lists this unclassified non-coding RNA (330 nucleotides) under soil metagenome. RNAcentral's name for it is "partial contains 5.8S ribosomal RNA, internal transcribed spacer 2, and large subunit ribosomal RNA". The stretch from base 1 to 120 matches the Rfam family "5.8S ribosomal RNA", at positions 35 to 154 of the family's 154-position model. The record is from RNAcentral.